This 909-nucleotide ribosomal RNA is filed under the name uncultured soil bacterium. RNAcentral describes it as "SSU rRNA". It matches the Rfam family "Bacterial small subunit ribosomal RNA", at positions 1 to 976 of the family's 1533-position model. The record is from RNAcentral.
UAGAGUUUGAUCCUGGCUCAGAACGAACGCUGGCGGCAUGCCUAAUACAUGCAAGUCGAACGCGCCUAGCGAUAGGCGAGUGGCGGACGGGUGAGUAACGCGUGGGAACCUGCCCUUGAGUGCGGGAUAACCGAGGGAAACUUCGGCUAAUACCGCAUGCGCCCCGGGCAACUGGGGGAAAGAUUUAUCGCUCGAGGAGGGGCCCGCGUCGGAUUAGCUAGUUGGUGGGGUAAUGGCCUACCAAGGCGAUGAUCCGUAGCUGGUCUGAGAGGAUGAUCAGCCACACUGGGACUGAGACACGGCCCAGACUCCUACGGGAGGCAGCAGUAGGGAAUAUUGGACAAUGGGGGCAACCCUGAUCCAGCAAUGCCGCGUGAGUGAUGAAGGCCUUAGGGUUGUAAAGCUCUUUCGCACGCGACGAUGAUGACGGUAGCGUGAGAAGAAGCCCCGGCUAACUUCGUGCCAGCAGCCGCGGUAAUACGAAGGGGGCGAGCGUUGUUCGGAAUUACUGGGCGUAAAGGGCGCGCAGGCGGCCGAUCAAGUCAGGCGUGAAAGCCCGGGGCUUAACCUGGGAAUUGCGCUUGGGACUGAUGGGCUUGAGUUCGGGAGAGGAGAGUGGAAUUCCCAGUGUAGAGGUGAAAUUCGUAGAUAUUGGGAAAACACCGGUGGCGACGCGGCUCGCUGGACCGAUACUGACGCUGAGGCGCGAAAGCGUGGGAGCAAACACGAUUAGAUACCCUGGUAGUCACGCUGUAACGAUGUGCGCUAGACGUUGGAGGCGUAGCUUCGCUGUCGCAGCUACGCUUUAGCGCAUCGCUGAGGUAGUACGCGCAGGUAAUACUCAAUGCAUCGACGGGGCCGCCUAGCGUCGAGCCAUGUGUCCAGUCCACCACGGCGAUGACCUUACAG